UGCAAGUCGAACGGUAACAGGAAACAGCUUGCUGCUUCGCUGACGAGUGGCGGACGGGUGAGUAAUGUCUGGGAAACUGCCUGAUGGAGGGGGAUAACUACUGGAAACGGUAGCUAAUACCGCAUAACGUCGCAAGACCAAAGAGGGGGACCUUCGGGCCUCUUGCCAUCGGAUGUGCCCAGAUGGGAUUAGCUAGUAGGUGGGGUAACGGCUCACCUAGGCGACGAUCCCUAGCUGGUCUGAGAGGAUGACCAGCCACACUGGAACUGAGACACGGUCCAGACUCCUACGGGAGGCAGCAGUGGGGAAUAUUGCACAAUGGGCGCAAGCCUGAUGCAGCCAUGCCGCGUGUAUGAAGAAGGCCUUCGGGUUGUAAAGUACUUUCAGCGGGGAGGAAGGGAGUAAAGUUAAUACCUUUGCUCAUUGACGUUACCCGCAGAAGAAGCACCGGCUAACUCCGUGCCAGCAGCCGCGGUAAUACGGAGGGUGCAAGCGUUAAUCGGAAUUACUGGGCGUAAAGCGCACGCAGGCGGUUUGUUAAGUCAGAUGUGAAAUCCCCGGGCUCAACCUGGGAACUGCAUCUGAUACUGGCAAGCUUGAGUCUCGUAGAGGGGGGUAGAAUUCCAGGUGUAGCGGUGAAAUGCGUAGAGAUCUGGAGGAAUACCGGUGGCGAAAGCGGCCCCCUGGACGAAGACUGACGCUCAGGUGCGAAAGCGUGGGGAGC
This 724-nucleotide ribosomal RNA is filed under the name Escherichia sp. MYb137. Its description in RNAcentral is "bacterial SSU rRNA". It matches the Rfam family "Bacterial small subunit ribosomal RNA", at positions 56 to 769 of the family's 1533-position model. Lineage: Bacteria; Pseudomonadati; Pseudomonadota; Gammaproteobacteria; Enterobacterales; Enterobacteriaceae. The record is from RNAcentral.